RNAcentral lists this ribosomal RNA (468 nucleotides) under uncultured bacterium. Its description in RNAcentral is "partial 16S ribosomal RNA". It matches the Rfam family "Bacterial small subunit ribosomal RNA", at positions 28 to 507 of the family's 1533-position model. The record is from RNAcentral.
GACGAACGCUGGCGGCGUGCUUAACACAUGCAAGUCGAACGGAAAGGCCCUGCUUUUGCGGGGUGCUCGAGUGGCGAACGGGUGAGUAACACGUGAGUAACCUGCCCUUGACUUUGGGAUAACUUCAGGAAACUGGGGCUAAUACCGGAUAGGAGCUCCUGCUGCAUGGUGGGGGUUGGAAAGUUUCGGCGGUUGGGGCUGGACUAGCGGCUUAUCAGCUUGUUGGUGGGGUAGUGGCUUACCAAGGCUUUGACGGGUAGCCGGCCUGAGAGGGUGACCGGCCACAUUGGGACUGAGAGAGGGCGCAGACUCCUACGGGAGGCAGUAGUGGGGAAUAUUGCACAAUGGGCGGAAGCCUGAUGCAGCAACGCCGCGUGCGGGAUGACGGCCUUCGGGUGGUAAACCGCUUUCGCCUGUGACGAAGCGUGAGUGACGGUAAUGGGUAAAGAAGCACCGGCUAACUACGUG